RNAcentral lists this ribosomal RNA (253 nucleotides) under uncultured bacterium. Its description in RNAcentral is "partial 16S ribosomal RNA". It matches the Rfam family "Bacterial small subunit ribosomal RNA", at positions 524 to 776 of the family's 1533-position model. The record is from RNAcentral.
UACGGAGGAUGCGAGCGUUAUCCGGAUUCAUUGGGUUUAAAGGGUGCGCAGGCGGGCGAUUAAGUCAGGGGUGAAAUACUACGGCUCAACCGUGGAACUGCCUUUGAUACUGAUUGUCUUGAAUUUAGUUGAAGUGGGCGGAAUGUAGCAUGUAGCGGUGAAAUGCAUAGAUAUGCUACAGAACACCGAUAGCGAAGGCAGCUCACUAAGCUACGAUUGACGCUCAUGCACGAAAGCGUGGGGAUCAAACAGG